This is a long non-coding RNA of Vitis riparia (riverbank grape), 511 nucleotides long. RefSeq lists it as uncharacterized. NCBI's taxonomy places the organism in Eukaryota, Viridiplantae, Streptophyta, Magnoliopsida, Vitales, Vitaceae. The record is from RefSeq and is a predicted model, not a curated record. The transcript has 2 exons.
AAUUAAAAUCCUUUUCCAGAUUAAGUUUAUUUAUAAUUUUCGUAUGGUUCCAUUAUUCGGGAUGAAUUAAUGUUCAAGCUCUGUCGAAUAAUUCUGCGUUUGGAGCGGCUGUCGCGCAUAAUACACGCGUUUAGUCGAUUGCCUGCAAAACGCUGCGUUUCGAUUUAUCAUUCUUCCUCAACCUAAACAACGCCGAAGAAGACGACUGUAUUUUGAUUUUCGUCUUCGGUUGGGAAUAUUGGGAUUGAUGUUAUCGUUCUGGCGCAGUGUAGCAUUCUUCUGAUCACGGUCGUGAGCCCCUCCUACACAGACUUCAAGUUUCAAUAGCCCACAUUCAAAAUUUAGUAGGUAUGGAUACGAUACCUUUACACUUUCAUAUAUUUGAGCAAUGAGUAUAGAAAAAAAGUACAUGAAAAUGGCACAAACCUGUCAUGUUUAUCAGGCUUUCUUAGUUCUUAAAUUGUGGUGAUGAUACCUUUUCUAUAGCCAUUGCACUAAUCCCCAUUUCAAA